This 930-nucleotide ribosomal RNA is filed under the name uncultured bacterium. Its description in RNAcentral is "bacterial SSU rRNA". It matches the Rfam family "Bacterial small subunit ribosomal RNA", at positions 8 to 916 of the family's 1533-position model. The record is from RNAcentral.
AGAGUUUGAUCCUGGCUCAGAACGAACGCUGGCGGCGUGCUUAACACAUGCAAGUCGAACGGACCAAGGGGCUUGCUCCUUGGUUAGUGGCGCACGGGUGAGUAACGCGUGGAUAAUCUGCCCGAUGAUCUGGGAUAACAUCUCGAAAGGGGUGCUAAUACCGGAUAAGCCCACGGGAUCUUCGGAUCUUGCGGGAAAAGAGGGGGACCUUCGGGCCUCUUGUCAUCGGAUGAGUCCGCGUACCAUUAGCUAGUUGGCGGGGUAAAGGCCCACCAAGGCGACGAUGGUUAGCUGGUCUGAGAGGAUGAUCAGCCACACUGGAACUGAGACACGGUCCAGACUCCUACGGGAGGCAGCAGUGGGGAAUUUUGCGCAAUGGGGGAAACCCUGACGCAGCAACGCCGCGUGAGUGAUGAAGGCCUUCGGGUCGUAAAGCUCUGUCUAGAGGAAAGAAGUGUAUGGUGGCUAAUAUCCACUGUACUUGACGGUACCUCUGAAGGAAGCACCGGCUAACUCCGUGCCAGCAGCCGCGGUAAUACGGAGGGUGCGAGCGUUGUUCGGAUUUAUUGGGCGUAAAGCGCGUGUAGGCGGUUUCUUAAGUCUGAUGUGAAAGCCCCGGGCUCAACCUGGGAAGUGCAUUGGAUACUGGGAGACUUGAAUACGGGAGAGGGUAGUGGAAUUCCUAGUGUAGGAGUGAAAUCCGUAGAUAUUAGGAGGAACACCGGUGGCGAAGGCGUCUACCUGGACCGAUAUUGACGCUGAGACGCGAAAGCGUGGGUAGCAAACAGGAUUAGAUACCCUGGUAGUCCACGCCGUAAACGAUGAGUACUAGGUGUUGCGGGUAUUGACCCCUGCAGUGCCGCAGCUAACGCAUUAAGUACUCCGCCUGGGAAGUACGGUCGCAAGACUAAAACUCAAAGGAAUUGACGG